GCCGGCUUGGCGGAACGGUAGACGCGGCGCACUCAAAAUGCGCUGUCCGAGAGGGCGUGUGGGUUCGAGUCCCACAGUCGGUA
RNAcentral lists this transfer RNA (83 nucleotides) under Microcella daejeonensis. RNAcentral's name for it is "tRNA-Leu". It matches the Rfam family "tRNA". From Rfam's summary of the family: Transfer RNA (tRNA) molecules are approximately 80 nucleotides in length. Their secondary structure includes four short double-helical elements and three loops (D, anti-codon, and T loops). Lineage: Bacteria; Bacillati; Actinomycetota; Actinomycetes; Micrococcales; Microbacteriaceae. The record is from RNAcentral.